CCCUUAGAUGUUCUGGGCCGCACGCGCGCUACACUGAUGCAUUCAACGAGCCUAUCCUUGACCGACAGGUCCGGGUAAUCUUUGAAUCUGCAUCGUGACGGGGAUAGAUUAUUGCAAUUAUUAAUCUUCAACGAGGAAUGUCUAGUAGGCGCAAGUCAUCAGCUUGCGUCGAUUACGUCCCUGCCCUUUGUACACACCGCCCGUCGCUACUACCGAUUGAACGGUUUAGUGAGGGCCUCGGAUUGGUCUCGGCCCGCUCUUUACCGGGCGGCGCCGUUGGUCGAGAAGACGCUCGAACUUGAUCGUUUAGAGGAAGUAAAAGUCGUAACA
This 330-nucleotide ribosomal RNA is filed under the name uncultured eukaryote. RNAcentral describes it as "partial 18S ribosomal RNA". It matches the Rfam family "Eukaryotic small subunit ribosomal RNA", at positions 1470 to 1796 of the family's 1831-position model. The record is from RNAcentral.